RNAcentral lists this non-coding RNA (27 nucleotides) under Homo sapiens (human). Lineage: Eukaryota; Metazoa; Chordata; Mammalia; Primates; Hominidae. The record is from RNAcentral.
UGUUAACCGAAAGAUUGGUGGUUCGAG